CCAGUCUACAUCUCUGAACACCGGUGACUUGUGCUUAUACAGGAGUAGAGAGAAAAAUUAAUGAAGAUGAUUUUAAUCAACAUAUUUUUCCUAUCAACGAUUCUUGCAGCUUCGUCUGCACUGGACUGCGUCGAGUGUUUUGGUAAUGGCACAAAAUGUAAUGAACAAGGUAAGAGCAGAAAAUGUGGACCUG
RNAcentral lists this long non-coding RNA (193 nucleotides) under Dendronephthya gigantea. RNAcentral's name for it is "uncharacterized LOC114526188, transcript variant X2". The record is from RNAcentral. Lineage: Eukaryota; Metazoa; Cnidaria; Anthozoa; Malacalcyonacea; Nephtheidae.